CGGAGGGUGCAAGCGUUGUCCGGAUUUAUUGGGUUUAAAGGGUGCGUAGGUGGCUAUUUAAGCCAGUGGUGAAAGCCUGCAGCUUAACUGUAGGACUGCCAUUGAUACUGAAUAGCUUGAGUACUGAUGAGGUAGGCGGAAUUGAUAGUGUAGCGGUGAAAUGCAUAGAUAUUAUCAAGAACACCGAUUGCGAAGGCAGCUUACUAAGGAGUUACUGACACUGAGGCACGAAAGCGUGGGGAUCAAACAGGAUUAGAUACCCUGGUAGUCCACGCCAUAAACGAUGAUUACUCGAUGUAUGCGAUAGAUCGUAUGCGUCCAAGCGAAAGCGUUAAGUAAUCCACCUGGGGAGUACGACCGCAAGGUUG
RNAcentral lists this ribosomal RNA (368 nucleotides) under uncultured organism. RNAcentral's name for it is "bacterial SSU rRNA". It matches the Rfam family "Bacterial small subunit ribosomal RNA", at positions 526 to 896 of the family's 1533-position model. The record is from RNAcentral.